RNAcentral lists this ribosomal RNA (497 nucleotides) under uncultured bacterium. RNAcentral describes it as "partial 16S ribosomal RNA". It matches the Rfam family "Bacterial small subunit ribosomal RNA", at positions 28 to 507 of the family's 1533-position model. The record is from RNAcentral.
GAUGAACGCUGGCGGCGUGCCUAAUACAUGCAAGUCGAGCGAACACACGAGGAGCUUUCUCCUCUGACGUUAGCGGCGGACGGGUGAGUAACACGUGGAUAACCUACCUAUAAGACUGGGAUAACUUCGGGAAACCGGAGCUAAUACCGGAUAAUAUAUUGAACCGCAUGGUUCAAUAGUGAAAGACGGUUUUGCUGUCACUUAUAGAUGGAUCCGCGCCGCAUUAGCUAGUUGGUAAGGUAACGGCUUACCAAGGCAACGAUGCGUAGCCGACCUGAGAGGGUGAUCGGCCACACUGGAACUGAGACACGGUCCAGACUCCUACGGGAGGCAGCAGUAGGGAAUCUUCCGCAAUGGGCGAAAGCUUGACGGAGCAACGCCGCGUGAGUGAUGAAGGUCUUCGGAUCGUAAAACUCUGUUAUUAGGGAAGAACAAGUGUGUAAUUAACUAUGCACGUCUUGACGGUACCUAAUCAGAAAGCCACGGCUAACUACGUG